Molecule: ribosomal RNA, 208 nt
Filed under: uncultured bacterium
Lineage: Bacteria
Description: partial 16S ribosomal RNA
Rfam family: Bacterial small subunit ribosomal RNA
Source: RNAcentral
UGCGUAGGUGGCGGGGUAAGUCGGAUGUGAAAGCUCGGAGCUCAACUCCGAAAUGGCAUUGGAAACUACCUUGCUCGAGGGUUGGAGGGGGGACGUGGAAUUCUCGGUGUAGCAGUGAAAUGCGUAGAUAUCGAGAGGAACACCAGUGGCGAAGGCGAGUCCCUGGACAACUCCUGACACUGAGGCACGAAAGCUAGGGGAGCAAACA